Molecule: ribosomal RNA, 492 nt
Filed under: uncultured bacterium
Lineage: Bacteria
Description: partial 16S ribosomal RNA
Rfam family: Bacterial small subunit ribosomal RNA
Source: RNAcentral
AGUGAACGCUGGCGGUAGGCCUAACACAUGCAAGUCGAACGGCAGCACAGUAAGAGCUUGCUCUUACGGGUGGCGAGUGGCGGACGGGUGAGGAAUACAUCGGAAUCUACUUUUUCGUGGGGGAUAACGUAGGGAAACUUACGCUAAUACCGCAUACGACCUACGGGUGAAAGCAGGGGAUCUUCGGACCUUGCGUCCCCCCAUGAGCCGAUGUCGGAUUAGCUAGUUGGCGGGGUAAAGGCCCACCAAGGCGACGAUCCGUAGCUGGUCUGAGAGGAUGAUCAGCCACACUGGAACUGAGACACGGUCCAGACUCCUACGGGAGGCAGCAGUGGGGAAUAUUGGACAAUGGGCGCAAGCCUGAUCCAGCCAUACCGCGUGGGUGAAGAAGGCCUUCGGGUUGUAAAGCCCUUUUGUUGGGAAAGAAAAGCAGCAGGUUAAUACCCCGCUGUUCUGACGGUACCCAAAGAAUAAGCACCGGCUAACUUCGUG